AUGUGUGGCAGCAGCAGCAGCAGCAGCAGCAGCAGCACAGUAGUGAAGGCAAGAUGGCUGAGUAACGUCCGUGGCAGCCUCCACCACAACAUUUCCUCUCUGUUAUCACCCUCUACAACCCCUCCUACACAGAUGCUCUGUGUGAUGUGCAGAGCCUGGUGCUGUCGUAUGUUUUCGUAACUACUGUGGUGUAAUGUACAGAGCCUGGUGCUGUCAUAAGCUCAUAAAUUUUUCUAGCUGAAAAUUUUAAAUUUUUUGUUAGUGUAGUGAUUGAUUACUAUUAGUGACAAAUUAGUUGUAAAGCCUCUUAUUGGAACUAGUUUUACAAGAAAAUUAAGUGAUACUUGCAAUGAAGUAACUUGAAUGCUUUUUAUAGUGCAGAUUUUAACAUUUUGAAACCCAGUUACGUGACAAAAGGAACAAAAUCUUGCUAAUAUGACUAAGUGCUCAUACAUACGUCAGCUGACGUACCAGUGCUGUAAAGGAAAGGAGGCCUAGUGCAAACUGACUAGGCCCCAGGGACAAGUCAUUGUUCGGCCUGCGGCUUAGGGUUGAUGGUGAACAUUGUUGGUGUUCGCACACUGGUCCCCCCCACUGUGGGUGGCCCCCCUGUCACUGAAUCCAAAAUGAUGGCACGAGCAAUACUGCAGUGUCGGCCCAAUUCCCACCCAUUCCCUGAGAGAACGUUGGUCCUCGACCAGUCAGUGAAAAUUGGACGAUCUGUGGCUCGGGCCAGACCAGCAACCAGCAAUGCCAUCUUUGACUGUAAAGUGCUCUCCAGGAACCAUGCUCUUUUGUGGUAUGAGAAUGGAAAGUUCUAUCUCCAAGAUACCAAGAGCAGCAAUGGCACUUUCGUUAAUAACCAGCGCCUCAGCAAAGGCUCUGAAGAGUCAGCACCGAGAGAGGUCUGUUCGGGGGAUAUUGUACAGUUUGGUGUUGAUGUCAUGGAGAACUCAAAAAAAGUGACACAUGGCUGUAUAGUUGCAACUUUGAAGUUAUAUAUGCCUGAUGGCCAAGAAGCAAAAGCCAGCCCAUCAACAGCAGUAGGUGGGGCAGUGACAAGUGUGACUGCUCAGGAAUUAUAUCAGCUACGGACGUACCUGCAGGAAGCUCAGCAUCGUGAACAACAAAUUGAAACCAAAUUGGCUACUUUACAACGUCUGGUUUCAUCUACUCAGGAAGCAGCUACUCAUAGUUGGAAAGCAAUGAUUGAUGAAGAUCGAUUACUUCAGCGACUUGAAACUCUUGAGGCUCAACUUUCUACAUAUGCCAAGAAUUACCCUGAAGACAGUGUUCGAGAGGAAAUGAGGAGACUACUGGAUGAGAAGGGUCAGUAUGAAACCACUGCCAAAGAAUCCUUGAGACGAGUUCUACAGGAAAAGUUAGAUGCUGUCACAAAACUAGCAGAUUUAGAAAGAACAUUAAACACUUCAGAAGAUGAAUUAGCUCAUAUAAAGGAAGUUUGUGAAACUACUCAAAAGGAGCUUGUUGAAUUGUUAGAGAAGCAGUCUGUUCAAAGUGAACAAGUUGCACAGCUAACAGAAAAAUUAAAGAAUGCUGAGGAUCAAUUAAAGGAUGCAGAAGAAAACUAUGAACAGGAGAAAAAGGAACUACAAAGUAAAUUGUUAGAGAAAUCUAGUGAAGAAAAUAAAUUGAUGGCUAGAAUAGAAAGUAUAACAGCAGAAAGUGACUUUACCAAAGAGCAAUUAAGUGCCAUGAAGGCUAAAUAUGAAAAUAUUAAAAAUGGUGAAAUUAGUGGACUUAUAAAACCAGUAAAAGAUUCCUCAGGUUUUGACAUGUUAAGUAUAGAACCUUCUGAUUUCAAACAAGCCCUCGAAACUACACAGAGAGAGAUCCAUACUCUCAAAGAUCGCCUUCAAACUGCUCAGGAUGAACUCAGGCAAGCUGAGGCCAAUGUUUCUCAGCUCAAACAGGAACUUGCCGAUAACAAAGCUAAAAGUGCAGCCAGCACAGCAUUGAUGGAACACUUACAAGCUCAGAUUGCAACCCUGGAGGAUCGUCUAAGAGAGUACCAGGUGGUAUCUGAAAUUCCUGUAAUAUAUGAUGACAUCUACGAUGACAACACUUUAGUUAGGAAAAAGAAGGAUUGCCUCAAAAGUAAAGACAAUUUAAAUGAAGAUGAUGCCAAAGAUGAAGAAAGGACAAAUGACCUAGAUGACACAAUUGAUGCAGACACCACUCUUACUAUCAUCUCAACCAAGGAAUGCAAGGACUCUAAUGUUAAUGGCACUUUAGAGGAUAAAGAUGAGGAGAAGGAAGUGGAGGUAGCCCAAGAAUCAAUAUUACGCACUGACAUCUUAAGACUUCAAGAGCUUUUAGAAACAAGUCGAAAAGCACAAGAAACUUCAGAAAAGGAAGUGGCUCGAAUUCGUGAAGAUUUGGCUCAGGCAUCUACAGCAGCCAUAACAGCAUCUCAUGAGGCUUCCAACCUUCGACAACAGCUAGCUGCUAGUGAAGCCUUAAUGACUGAAAAGGUGAAGACGGUGGGAUCACUACAGAGUCAAGUAAGCCGUCUUGAAGAUUCAUCUAAAGAGGUGCAGACACAGCUGUCAAACCUCACAGUCAGACUAAGGGAUGAGCAGCAGAAGGUUCAGGCUGCCCAGGAAGAAACUCGGUUACUUAGAGAGAAACUAAGUGAGGCUGAAGAAUUAGCAAGCCUUAGUGUACAGGAAGCUGAAUCUCUAAAGAGACGGAUAGUUGGGCUUGAGGAGCGGUUACAAUUCAACCAGGCCUCUCCAACAACACCUCUUAUUCUUCCUCCUCCACCUUGUAUCCCCAGUGGUAGUAAUGAAGUUUCAAACAAGGAGACGCUUGGUGAAUGUGAUACCACUGUAGCAGUAUGUGGAGGAUCUGCUGAGGAGAGAACUGCCAGUACAAUUAUAGAUGAAAAUUCUACAUCUACCUCAAAAACACAAAUUUGCAGUAUACCAGACAACUCUGGAAGUCAGACUAAUGUCACAGAUAUACCAGAAAUCAGUCAUUCAUUUGUAACCAAAGAAGUGGAACUUAGUGAGCUUAAAAAUACUCUGAAAAAAUUAAAAGAAGAGCUGUCACAAACUCAGAAAGAAUGUGCAUCUUUGCAAGAGAGAGAACGCAUCCUUCAGUAUACACUAGAUACUGAAAAGAGAAAAACAAAUGGCAGUUUGAAUGAUACUCAUCAAGAUAUGAUGGAUGGAUUAAUAACUCCUGUUUUAAAGGAUGGAUCACUGUUGUCCAACAAAUUGGAAAAUCUUCAGGAAGAGUUGGCUUUAGUGAGGGAAGAGCGAGAUAAACUACAAAACAAACUUAGCAUAGUGAAUGAAGAUUUUCAGCAACUGGCUGUACAAAAUGGGAUGACGAUCCCAACGUGGGUCUUGCUAGUUAUGGGGGUGGCUCUACUUCUUUUCUCUGAUUUUCUUCAAAGCCUUUUGUAGGAAAAAAUAAGCAAAGCUUUGAUACACCCAUUUUUGCCUAGUGUUUAUGUAUAUGCACAAAAAGCUUGUUGUAAAGAAACUUGUAUUUAUACAAUGUGCAAAAGCAACAGAAUAAUUAGAGUUAUUGAAAAGUCAUUUUCCAGCAACAUAUGUGAUUAUUGUGCCAUUUUUUGUUAGUGAUGUGUAGGAUAUAAUUAUCAAAUGUACAGUAUGUAGAUUGUACAGUUUCCCUUGAUAUUGAUUAACGUUAACAAAACUAGUAUAUAUUAACUAUAAUAUUGCAUAUUCUCUUCUAAUCUUGUAUCUAUGUAAUAUAAAUUCAGUAUGUAUAUAUAGCUAUUUAAAAAAAAAAAAGAAGUAAGUCCUAGUGUAAAAAAUCUAAUAGCCAAGAGAAUUAAAUACAAGCCCUGAGUGCAACAGAGAAAGUUAGCCUGAGCCAGUCCCAGAAGCCUUGUGAUAUUAGCCAAUGUAAGCCCUGCAGAGGCCCUUAGAAGGCCCAUGGGAAGAGGUUGUUGCUGCCUCGGCCCCACCACAAGUCACACCAACAGGCUGUGGCGUUGAGUAUCGUGCCACUGUGUAUUCUUCUUCUGGGCUUCAUCACAGCAUUCUACGACACCAUUUCUGCCAUCACUGGCACUACAGAGUUUCAUCCACCAUCUUAGAUAUAAUUAUAUACUGUAUAUUCUUUAAAAUAACUGUACACUAUAAAAUGAAGUUCAUUACAUCUUUCAUUUUCAAAAAUCAUAGUUGUCUUUAAUUUUUUUCAUGUUGUACAAUUUAGUACUUUUGUUAUCACAUUGGACUCUUAUCCUAUUAGUAAGCCAUAAAUUUUAUCUUCCCUGGGUAAUCAUAUAUUAAUGAGGUAAUUAGUUUAUAAUCUCCCAUUGUCGAGCAGUUUCAUUCUCAUGUGUGCUAACAGUGUUGAUUCUAACUAAAGCUUGUUUUUUUUUUUUACUCUGGAAUUAAAGCCAUUUAUGCAGAGAAAUGGUUGAGUAUUCUGCUGAAGGCAAUAUAUUGCUGGAUCUGCUUCCUCAGGGAACUGAGUGUAUGAAAAGAGGUUUGUGAUGUGUGUAUCUGUGAAUUGUUUCUCUUGAAGUACUGUAGCUAUAAGAAUAAUCAAAGGAAAAUUAUGAUUCACUUGGACAUGUACAUAGGGAAGAUAAAUGUAACUACUUGAAUGGUCAAGAUUUUAAUGGCCUCAAAUUCCCAGGUGGCAUGCAUUUUAUAUUGGUGUAAUGCAUAUGUCAAGAUGCAAUGGUAAUGUUUGCUUGCCAAAUAUGAUGCUAAAGUGAUUGUAGAAUUGGUAUAACCAAGAUUGUUAUAGUUGUUUAGGAUGAUUACAGGUUGAUUUUCUUAAUGUGUUGCACAAAUGAUGUAGAACCUGUGAUUGUUUUACUUAUUAAUUUUCUCAGAUGUUAUUAUAUAACAUGAGAGAGUACAGUAUGUAUGCAGAAAUGAGAUGUUGGUUGUACAAGUCAGUUAAAUAGUUAAGUGAAAUUCUUUUUUUUUUUAUUGUGGAAACAUUGCUAUCUCGUAUAUUUUUAUUUCUUGAAGUGUAUCCCUUGAGUUAUUAAAUAUAUUUUCUUCAUUAAUAAUUAACUUUAUGGCUACAACUGUGCAUAUUAUGUUUUAAUUCAUUUUUUUUGCCUGAUAAAAGCAUAAGUUUAGAGGUUGAUUCUUGAUACACUACUGUGUAACUGUGUUGCUAUGGUAACAGAAUUAAACUGACUUCUUCUUUUCCAUAAUUGUAAAUUUACUAUCUUCACAACUAUAAGGUAUGGCAUUUCAGACAUUUCAAGACAUAACUUGACCUGUCACCAGUUUUAUGCAUAGAAAAAAACAUAAUUACAUCCUACACUAAAUUUUAAAGAUAGUAUUAUUUGCCUUAUUAAAGUAAAAUGUAUUUUAUAUACAUAUAUUUUGAUUCUAAGUAAAAUAUUAGUCUUUACUAGCAUUGAGAAAGUAACACAAUCACAUGGCUAAGUCAUCCCUGAGCUUAACUGUAAGGGUUGUGGAUGGACUAAUGUUCAAGUUACUGUUAAAAUUUUUUAACAAGUUAUGUCAUGCAUUGUAAGUUGUGCACAUCAAAUACUGUAACAAUUCUAUGUUACACCUUGUUUCAUCAGUAUAAAAAUGUAAUGCCAUUAGCAAGUUUUUGACAAAAUUGUACAAUGAUUCCUAUUUUUAUUAUGUUAAUAAUCAUUGUAACUAUUUCAACAUUUUAACUUGGUGCCAGUUUAUAUAGAAGCAAACAUAAAUCUUUGAUAUUAUAUAGAGCAAUUUACAUAAAAUGAUUUUUUAAGUAACAUUUCCAAAUUAUAAAUAUAUUUUACACAUAUAUGAGUGGUGUAGCCAAUAUGUUGCCGUACCUGUUUUUUGUCUGUGAUAAAACCAACACAAAAAGAUUAUCAUUAUUGUAUCUGCUUGUUUCCUUUCUAAUGUUUAAUGUUAUUACUCUCCUCUGUUUUUUUAGCAUAUUGGUUGCAUUGCCUCAUUAAUAAUAUCCAAUACAACAUUGAUCUUAAUUUCAUGUAAGACAUAAUAGGAAAGAGGGUAUUGAGACUUCUUCCAAGAGAUGAGUGUUUAAUAAGUAGCACAGAUGCUUCUCAGAUGUCAUGUACCAGCUGCUUGAAAGUCAACAUAGUGUCAUUUAGUAGCAACUUCCUUUACAACACGUGGAAACUGCUAUGAAAGUCUUGUGUCAGUGCUGUGUCAAGCUCAAUUUUGUCAUCAUAGGGAGAAGUGAAAUGUAUAUACAGAAGCUGCCAAAUUCCCUGACACUCUUGGCUUGGCAGAACUUGACAAAGACAUCCUAGUCACCUGUCUGGUUUUCCAGCCAAUCUCACCCGACCUCUCGUAAAAGUCAUGUACAGAUAAAUACAGUCGGAAAACUAUGUAAAUAAAAUGACGUGUGGUCACCAAGACUGUGUAUAAAGACGGAGUUAUAUACUGCCAUUAUUCAGUAGUAUAUAUUUGAAACUUAUUCAUAAAUAUUUAUGCUUGUUUGAUACAAGAUCGUGUUACUAUUGUAGUUCUUGUUCACAUCAUUUUAAAAUAGACUGAUGAACUUCAGGCAUUAUAGAAGAACUUAUUUCCCAUGAGGUUUAUCCAUGCUUUUAUACUUCAUCCUCGGAGGGAAAGUUUCUGUGGUAAAAGAUGUUCUUAUAUCUAAUGAGUCACAAGAUGAAAUAUCCCAUCUAGCACAUUUUGUAGGUGUCAUGUAAACUACAUUAUAUCCCAUUUUUUAUGAAUCACAUGUACAAAGAAAGCCAAGCACACAGAGGUUACCAUAAACUGGCCAAAUUCAUCAAAGAAGUAAAUAAAACUGAGGGGAAAUAUCAUAAAUAUAUGAUCUUGUGGAGAAUAUUAGUAUAAGCAGAUAUUCUUCAUUUUUUGUUUCUAGAACAAAUUGAGGAUGAUAUCUGCAAGUCACAAACUUGUUGAAAAUUCUGCUCUUUAUGAAUGUUGUCAGUAUUGGACACUCUGGUCAGGCACUAAUGCUCAUUCUGUGCUGCGCUUAGGAUGUCAGUCAAGAAACAGAACAUAUAAAAAAUGACAUGUUCUCAAGCUUCCAAAUAUAAAUAUUCAGCAUCCACAA
RNA transcript from Cherax quadricarinatus, 7032 nucleotides. It is a transcript of the gene named Sarcolemma associated protein, with no coding region annotated. NCBI's taxonomy places the organism in Eukaryota, Metazoa, Arthropoda, Malacostraca, Decapoda, Parastacidae. The record is from RefSeq and is a predicted model, not a curated record.